GGGUUGUCUCCUCCAGGGGCCAGGGGGUCUGGUUUUAUAGUCCCCUCAAGUGAACCUGGGCCGUCGGAUCAAACCGACAUUGAUUGAACGGUUAUUCUUGAUCCUUUAGGUCGGUGGAGCAUAAUCCGCGAGAUUGAGCGUGAUUGGCCACAGGAGGUGGGCGGGCGCCCAGUAGGACAGGGCGGGCACCCUGCCUGUGGCCCCGAUUCGCCUCCGCUUCGGUCUCGUGGCUUCUGGAGUCUUCUAGAUGUAAGAUAAUUGCGCGGCACGUUAAUAUCUUUACGUAAUCCCGACGUGUGGGCCUUUCUUCCUUAUUUCCUGAUAACCCCCUGCAGAAAUAGACAAACACCAAAACUCGUGGAAUUCUGUCAGAUAAAACCCUAAGUCUAGAUGUUGAUUUCAUUUGGAUCCAUUUCUUUGUUUAUUUGAUAAUUAAAUUUGAUACUUAAGGACCGUCAACAAACUCCCCCAAGCUUACCUCUUGCUCGUCCCUGAGCAAGGAUAGACUCAGCUAUAGAUCAUAAGUUGUUGCAAUAUCUUUAAAAAUUGACGGUACACAUGCUUUUAAAUGAGGUCUCAUCUCUGAGUUAGAGUAAACUGUCAAGACUUAAAACUUACUUACUUUACCUUUCACCAUGGGACUUGUAACCGUCACUUCUGUCUUGAGUGGUUAAAAGAUAGAACAGUCCAGUCAAGUGCCAUGUCGCUUAUUCUUGAUCAGCUAUAGCUCUGGAGUUUUUGCAGAUUUUCAAAUAAAACUCAGAGAUUCCUUUGUAUGACUCUCUCAUAUCUCUCUUUUGUGGUAUUUCUGGAUCCUUACCAAUGCAGUGAUGGUAUAUGCCUUCUCUCAAAACAUGUGGUAUUUGUGGUAUAAGGCAUAGUGACAUUGCCUUCUCUCUCACCCUACUCUAAUAAGGCUUUAAUAUCUGGAGCUCAUAGGUGGGAGAUAAAGUAUACAUACUUACAAGACAUGUAUUGCAUAGUCAAACCAUGGAUCCAAAGAAAUAAAUCAAUAAGCCAAAUCAAGAUGUGCAUGUGUGGCGAAUGAAUAGUGUAUGGUGAUGAUGGUGAUAACAAUGGUGAAAGUCUAAUUCUACUUUUGCUCUUUUAAGGGGAUACAUACCUUCCUUGCUUUUUGAAACUUUAUGAGGAGAAUGAGAUGCUCUUCUUUUUCUUUUCUCUCAGAUGGGUAUCCUGUACCCCUAAUUCUACUGUCAGACACUUGUCCAUUUUUACCUCUCGUCUCACUCUUUUUCUUUUCUUUCGAGGUUCCGGGCACUUGCCCCUUUUUAUUUCCUCGUUUAUUUUUUUUCUUUUCUUUUUUUUCUUCUUUUUUUUCAGAGCACUCAUCUCUUGAGAUAAUAUAGCAAGUGGUAGUAGCAAGAUAACUUGAGCAUUUAUUUCACAAGGGAAAAACACAGAUGUUUUUGGCUAUUCUCUCCCGAAUUAGGAGUAGAAUAUUUUUAGGUGAUUCUGGAGAUGGAAAUGGAUGGAUAUAUAUGGAUGGUACUUCCGGAGUAGAAGUAGCAUAUAUAUGAGUGAACGUGCAAGUGAAUCUUGAUUUAACCACAUGACAAGCUCCUAAGGGUCUACACAGCUUGACCACACUCAAUGCUCAUAAGCAGUAAAUAAUAAAUGUGUGGCUCAAAGUCUAGCAAGCAUGUAUAUAUGGCUGUGGUAGGAAUUUAAACUUUCAUCAUACAGGAACUCAUCAUGCAACAUUUUAAAGAUUUUUCAAAGAUAAAAUUCUCCAGAAUUCUAGCAUCUCUAGGAACAGAUAAACAGCAGCUCAACCUUCCCAUAUCUUAUCCGUUAACAACUUAGAUUUUAGAUCAAGUUUUCAUCCCACAAGUUUAGAUCUAGAGCAAGCUUUAAAUUAUAACAGUUAUGUCUAAACUUGAGAGAGAACUUCAAAUUUGCAAAUUAGGCAGAGCAACUAUUCAUCAUAUCCAUGCUAGAGUUUUAUUAUUAAGAUUCAUAGCAAACUUUAUUUAUUUAUUUAUUUAUUUAUUUAGCAAACUAAGAAAAGUAUAUAUAUAUAAGCAUAAAAUCUUUAUUUGGUUUUUCAUAGUUUAUGUAUUUUAAUAUUCUAAUAUAAUAUAAGUAUAAAGAUAGGUAGAAAUACUUAGCGAGAUAAAUAGGGGUGCUCUCCCUCAAGCUGAAUUUUGACGUAAUUUCUCUUGAUGUAGCUAGCAGGUGGCAGAGGUGUAUUUGAAAGUCAGCAGCAUUCUGACAGCAAUUAGAAUAUCCUCUAUCUUUCGGCGAGGGUUCAAUGUUUUAAGUCUUCUUAACAAGACUUCUCACCGUGUUCAUUCUUCAGGUGCGUCAUUUGAUUCAGGUGCGGACCUUGACGUCUGCACCUCUUGAUACGGUGUCGCCCAUAUUCUUCGUUUGCCCAGCAGUUCGAAGUGCGGUGUUAGCAGUAUCUUGCUCAAUGUGUUUGUGCUCGUAGUGUACCUGCUCAUAGAGACAAGGCAGAGAUCAAGUGAACCAAAAGUGUAUUUGUUCUUCUCUAACCUUAAGCAUAGUGAGCAAGACAAGUUGAUGGAUGAUAAGUUCAUGAGUGUAGCACUUAUAACAUUUGUCAGAUCAGAUCGCUCAACCUUAUGGAAAGAUAAUCUAUCUAUGUAUAUGUCUUUUUAUUUAUAUCUCUCAAUGAUUGAAUGUGUAACAUUUUAGCUCAUAUGAUUAGGAGUGUGGGAUCAUGGAGGUAGUACUAAGAACAAGGAUUAAAGGACUAAACAUGUUGAAUCAGUUGGGUUGGUUAAUCUAGAGUUGUAAAUCAUACACGUUUGUCUCUUUUAUUUAUAUGAACGCCAGAACCAAGGAGAAGCUUAUAAAAGUGAUAGUCAAGUACCUUAGGAUGUUACCUUGCUUGAAAAGUGAUGGUACAGUAUCACCUUGUGGAAGCUUUCCUUUCUUAGCGGUUGUGCAUCGUGUUCGUGGCACCCUCCAUGGAUCUUCACUUUAUGAUGAAUGAGCUAUGUCCUUCUUGUGCUAAUUGUUAAACUUCAUGUGUCACUUUCUUCGUCUCUGAUGUGAGUUUAUCUCAGGACUUCCCAAAUCGAUAUUGAAAGUUUUUCUGCAGGGGUUAGUCCAACAAAAUAUACCAAUAUCUACUCAAGCAGUUUUUAGUUCAAUAACCAAACUAGACUCCUUGUCUAAUCAGAUUAAGGAAGGCUAUUUAACCUAAGCACCAUGCUUAAUUUAAAUGCCAAUGGAAGUAUGGCGAGUACUUCCAAACCAACACUUGCUAGUAAAUAGACAACGGUAGCAUGACAGCGUUUAUAGAGAUCUACUCAAGUGGAGAUGAAGUAGUGUGAUUAGUAUUUAACAAAUUGAGCAUGUCUCAAAGGUAGGGACAACCAGCAUAGCAACAUGGCAAAGGAUGUUUUUAUGUAAAGUACUCCCCCAAGCUUGAAUUUUGCAAAAAUUCAAGUUUGGAUGAAUUUAAUUCAAUGUUGUAUGAUGAUUGGUUGGACAUACCUUGUGCUUGUCAUUCAUCCGAUCUUCUUGCUCCAAUCUUAGAAAGGUUAGUGACAAGAAUACCCGAAGGAAUAUAUUUUUUUUACAAUUAUCCUUAUAUGCUCAAUACACAAGGUAAUGUUGCAAAUAAUUAAAGGCUCAUGUUACGAUCUGAUCAAUGCUUAUUUUAAGACACUAAGCUUGUCCUUGGGAAACCAUCAGUUUAUGUUGGCGAAGUGGUUUCCCCUCCGACGCCAACCUAUAUCUAGAUCAACUCAACGAGAUCUGCAAUAUUUAUUAUAGACAUAUGCAUCGACAACCGCCCUUUUAAAGUUUUUAUAAAUAGAAAGGAAGAGGGGGUUGGAGAUCUCAAGUGUGGUGAUGUCGGAGAGACCAAUAGAUUGGGAAGAUGUUGCAUAUGAGCAUGGAGUAAACGAAGUGGCUAUGAAAUAAAUUCCAUGCUCAUUAAUGUUAUCUUCGUCUCUAAUCUGAAUGUUCGGAGUUUCUCCUGGAUUGGUCUCACCUAUGUCCUGUUCUGUAGUUGGAUGAAUCUCAUCUUCAAAGGGAGUCAAGAACUCACCAUUUGAAAUUGAGCCAAAGUCAGAACCUAUUAAGGCUUCUUUCUUAUCCAUCCAUUCUACACAUUCUAGCCAUUUAGAACUUGUGAUCAAAAUAGGGGAGGUGUUAGAAUUUUCUAUAUGGCUUAGCUCUCCUUCUAUGGCAUUACUUGACAUGCCAUCCUUAUGGUCUUCAUGACUCCUAUGGUUUGGUCGUCUUGGUGAAUUGCUAGGAUCAUCAUGAGAGUGAAAAGAAGAGGGAUAAGAGGGAUCUCUAAGGUCAAGGAUGGAUUUAGAACUUGUGAACAUGGAAGGGGAGUAGAUAGAAUUGUCUAUAUGGCUUAGCUCUCCUUCACUUGAUAUGUCAUCCUCGACUUCUUCAUGAUAGGAACCAGGACAUUCUCUAAGAGAAACAUUAUUGCAAUGAUUUGAAUUAUCCCUGCUUGAAGGUCUCUUAUAGAACUAGAAGUCUAAACCAUCAGCAUUUAAAAGAUUUAAGGUCGGAAUUCCUUCCUCCCUUGGAGAAUUUUGGGGUAUUGAUGGUUUAGAAUCGAUAGCUAAAGUUUGGGAUUGAAGUGGUUGUGAUCUGGCUAUCAAAACUUCUUCUUCUUGUCUAGGAACUGGUUCUUUCUCUUUCUCAGGGAUAUAAAAGCUAGGAGACUUUCCGCUCAUUAAAUCAAUCAAAUUCCAAGCUUCACUAGCGGAUAUGUGGUGGAAAGAUCCUCCAGAGGCCGCAUGAAGGGUUUGCCUAUUUUUCCUACUAAGGCCCUCAAAAAAGUGAAUUAGAAGAACUUCUUCUGGAAUAGAAAGUUUUGGGCCAGUGAGAGUAAGGUUAAUAAAGCGGUCCCAUGAUUUGCCAAGAGAUUCUUCUUCCAGUUGUCUAAAAGAAAGAAUCUCACGCCGAAGUUCCACCACUUUGGAGAUUGGAAAAUAUUUAGAUAGAAAACUACUAUAUAACUCCUUCCAAUCUCCAUGAACACUCCCUACUUUAAGUUUAUACCAAUGUCUAGCUUUUCCCGUUAAAGAGAACGGAAAGAGCUUCCAUUUAAGGGUCUCAUCGGACAUGCCUUCUAUGCGAAGGAGGUCACAGACUCGAUAAAACUCUCUAAGGUGUGUGUAUGGGUUUUCCUCACCUUCUCCUGAGAAAGGUUGUUUUUGAAUAAAUUCUAUGUAUUCGGGGUCUAUCUCAAAACUAGAUGCUAUGAUAGGCUUUGAAGAUUUUGGUGGUUCGAGAUGUGUGCCCAUAGGUCUAUGAAAUUCAUAGAUAGACAUGUUUGAAUUCAUGAUAGACCAGAGAUCAAGGAUUAGAUAAGAAGAAAGAUUAGCAGAGAUGAGGCAAAGGAUAAAAGGAAAAUAUUUUUUUUAUUAUUUUUUUUAAAAAAAUGAUUAAGCUAGUUCGUAGUCAACUCAGCAACCGUUUCCCCGGCAACGGUGCCAAAAAUGCUUGUUGACACUUGCUAACACCACUUGAAUACUAGGUUGUCAUCCCCAGCAUGGCACUAGAGUGUACUAUGGUAUUUAUACGCACACAGAUAAUCCGCAAGCGCACGGAUACCGUUGAAGCUUUUACCCGGUUAAAGGUUUUAUCGUAUCCACAGGGAAACGGGAGAACCAACUACGCUCUAACUUAACCAAGAUAGAUAGAUAGGUGUAAAUAGGAAAGAUGAUAGAAUCGAAUAAGAACAAUAUUAAAGGUAAGAUAACAGUGAGUGAUAAUAUGGGAAUAGAGAAUAGAGCAAUUCUAGUAUAUGGGCGAUGGUAGCAGAAUAGAGAGGAUAACUAUGGUUUCUCUACUUCAAAGGGGUAUGUCUAUGUCUGGGACGAACCACGUGAUAAGAGUACACCACAAAGGAUGCUUAUCCAUAGGCCGAUAAACCCUACCCGUCCUGCUAACGAGAGGUGGACUACAGGGGACCAACGUAACUGUCACCUACGCGGCCUACCACAUGAUCUAGCUAGUCGGGGGAUAUCCACAAGUAAUCUAGGUCUAAGCACCACGCUUACACCUAUACUACAACUCUAACCUAUAGGGUCCUAUAGAUUAGAAGUACUCAAAAGAGUUGUGAACCAGAACAUACAUGAUUAGUAAUUGCAUAAUGAAUUAGAAGUAGAUUACCAGAGUCAUCCCAUGAGCAAGCUUGAUUAGAGCUUGAUCAUGGCGAAGUACAACCGGAGGAAGAACAGACAGGCCGGCCUCUCCUCUAAUCCUCCUUCGCUCUCCACCUCGCUACUAUCUAGAUCUACUCUAGUUUAGAGAAGAGAGGAGAGCUCUCAUCUCUAAACCCUAGCUUUUGCUCUGUCUAUGAAUAAUGAAUAAUGAUCAAGGGGUUGUCUCCUCCAGGGGCCAGGGGGUCUGGUUUUAUAGUCCCCUCAAGUGAACCUGGGCCGUCGGAUCAAACCGACAUUGAUUGAACGGUUAUUCUUGAUCCUUUAGGUCGGUGGAGCAUAAUCCGCGAGAUUGAGCGUGAUUGGCCACAGGAGGUGGGCGGGCACCCAGUAGGACAGGGCGGGCACCCUGUCUCUGGCCCCGAUUCGCCUCCGCUUCGGUCUCGUGGCUUCUGGAGUCUUCUAGAUGUAAGAUAAUUGCGCGGCACGUUAAUAUCUUUACGUAAUCCCGACGUGUGGGCCUUUCUUCCUUAUUUCCUGAUAACCCCCUGCAGAAAUAGACAAACACCAAAACUCGUAGAAUUCUGUCAAAUAAAACCCUAAGUCUAGAUGUUGAUUUCAUUUGGAUCCUUUUCUUUGUUUAUUUGAUAAUUAAAUUUGAUACUUAAGGACCGUCAACAAACUCCCCCAAGCUUACCUCUUGCUCGUCCCUGAGCAAGGAUAGACUCAGCUAUAGAUCAUAAGUUGUUGCAAUAUCUUUAAUAAUUGACGGUACACAUGCUUUUACAUGAGGUCUCAUCUCUGAGUUAGAGUAAACUGUCAAGACUUAAAACUUACUUACUUUACCUUUCACCAUGGGACUUGUAACCGUCACUUCUGUCUUGAGUGGUUAAAAGCUAGAACAGUCCAGUCAAGUGCCAUGUCGCUUAUUCUUGAUCAGCUAUAGCUCUGGAGUUUUUGCAGAUUUUCAAAUAAAACUCAGAGAUUCCUUUGUAUGACUCUCUCAUAUCUCUCUUUUGUGGUAUUUCUGGAUCCUUACCAAGGCAGUGAUGGUAUAUGCCUUCUCUCAAAACAUGUGGUAUUUGUGGUAUAAGGCAUAGUGACAUUGCCUUCUCUCUCACCCUACUCUAAUAAGGCUUUAAUAUCUGGAGCUCAUAGGUGGGAGAUAAAGUAUACAUACUUACAAGACAUGUAUUGCAUAGUCAAACCAUGGAUCCAAAGAAACAAAUCAAUAAGCCAAAUCAAGAUGUGCAUGUGUGGCGAAUGAAUAGUGUAUGGUGAUGAUGGUGAUAACAAUGGUGAAAGUCUAAUUCUACUUUUGCUCUUUUGAGGGGAUACAUACCUUCCUUGCUUUUUGAAACUUUAUGAGAAGAAUGAGAUGCUAUUCUUUUUCUUUUCUCUCACAUGGGUAUCCUGUACCCCUAAUUCUACUGUCGGACACUUGUCCAUUUUUACCUCUCGUCUCACUCUUUUUCUUUUCUUUCGAGGUUCCGGGCACUUGCCCCUUUUUAUUUCCUCGUUUAUUUUUUUUUUCUUUUCUUUUUUUCUUCUUCUUUUUUUUCAGAGCACUCAUCUCUUGAGAUAAUAUAGCAAGUGGUAGUAGCAAGAUAACUUGAGCAUUUAUUUCACAAGGGAAAAACACAGAUGUUUUUGGCUAUUCUCUCCCGAAUUAGGAGUACAAUAUUUUUAGGUGAUUCUGGAGAUGGAAAUGGAUGGAUAUAUAUGGAUGGUACUUUCGGAGUAGAAGUAGCAUAUAUAUGAGUGAACGUGCAAGUGAAUCUUGAUUUAACCACAUGACAAGCUCCUAAGGGUCUACACAGCUUGACCACACUCAAUGCUCAUAAGCAGUAAAUAAUAAAUGUGUGGCUCAAAGUCUAGCAAGCAUGUAUAUAUGGCUGUGGUAGGAAUUUAAACUUUCAUCAUACAGGAACUCAUCAUGCAACAUUUUAAAGAUUUUUCAAAGAUAAAAUUCUCCAGAAUUCUAGCAUCUCUAGGAACAGAUAAACAGCAGCUCAACCUUCCCAUAUCUUAUCCGUUAACAACUUAGAUUUUAGAUCAAGUUUUCAUCCCACAAGUUUAGAUCUAGAGCAAGCUUUAAAUUAUAACAUCUAUGUCUAAACUUGAGAGAGAACUUCAAAUUUGCAAAUUAGGCAGAGCAACUAUUCAUCAUAUCCAUGCUAGAGUUUUAUUAUUAAGAUUCAUAGCAAACUUUAUUUAUUUAUUUAUUUAUUUAGCAAACUAAGAAAAGUAUAUAUAUAUAAGCAUAAAAUCUUUAUUUGGUUUUUCAUAGUUUAUGUAUUUUAAUAUUCUAAUAUAAUAUAAGUAUAAAGGUAGGUAUAAAUACUUAGCGAGAUAAAUAGGGGUGCUCUCCCUCAAGCUGAAUUUUGACGUAAUUUCUCUUGAUGUAGCUAGCAGGUGGCAGAGGGGUAUUUGAAAGUCAGCAGCAUUCUGACAGCAAUUAGAAUAUCCUCUAUCUUUCGGCGAGGGUUCAAUGUUUUAAGUCUUCUUAACAAGACUUCUCACCGUGUUCAUUCUUCAGGUGCGUCAUUUGAUUCAGGUGCGGACCUUGACGUCUGCACCUCUUGAUACGGUGUCACCCAUAUUCUUCGUUUGCCCAGCAGUUCGAAGUGCGGUGUUAGCAGUAUCUUGCUCAAUGUGUUUGUGCCCGUAGUGUACCUGCUCAUAGAGACAAGGCAGAGAUCAAGUGAACCAAAAGUGUAUUUGUUCUUCUCUAACCUUAAGCAUAGUGAGCAAGACAAGUUGAUGGAUGAUAAGUUCAUGAGUGUAGCACUUAUAACAUUUGUCAGAUCAGAUCGCUCAACCUUAUGGAAAGAUAAUAUAUCUAUGUAUAGGUCUUUUUAUUUAUAUCUCUCAAUGAUUGAAUGUGUAACAUUUUAGCUCAUAUGAUUAGGAGUGUGGGAUCAUGGAGGUAGUACUAAGAACAAGGAUUAAAGGACUAAACAUGUUGAAUCAGUUGGGUUGGUUAAUCUAGAGUUGUAAAUCAUACACGUUUGUCUCUUUUAUUUAUAUGAACGCCAGAACCAAGGAGAAGCUUAUAAAAGUGAUAGUCAAGUACCUUAGGAUGUUACCUUGCUUGAAAAGUGAUGGUACAGUAUCACCUUGUGGAAGCUUUCCUUUCUUAGCGGUUGUGCAUCGUGUUCGUGGCACCCUCCAUGGAUCUUCACUUUAUGAUGAAUGAGCUAUGUCCUUCUUGUGCUAAUUGUUAAACUUCAUGUGUCACUUUCUUCGUCUCUGAUGUGAGUUUAUCUCAGGACUUCCCAAAUCGAUAUUGAAAGUUUUUCUGCAGGGGUUAGUCCGACAAAAUAUACCAAUAUCUACUCAAGCAGUUUUUAGUUCAAUAACCAAACUAGACUCCAUGUCUAAUCAGAUUAAGGAAGGCUAUUUAACCUAAGCACCAUGCUUUAUUUAAAUGCCAAUGGAAGUAUGGCGAGUACUUCCAAACCAACACUUGCUAGUAAAUAGACAACGGUAGCAUGACAGCGUUUAUAGAGAUCUACUCAAGUGGAGAUGAAGUAGUGUGAUUAGUAUUUAACAAAUUGAGCAUGUCUCAAAGGUAGGGACAACCAGCAUAGCAACAUGGCAAAGGAUGUUUUUAUGUAAAGUACUCCCCCAAGCUUGAAUUUUGCAAAAAUUCAAGUUUGGAUGAAUUUAAUUCAAUGUUGUAUGAUGAUUGGUUGGACAUACCUUGUGCUUGUCAUUCAUCCGAUCUUCUUGCUCCAAUCUUAGAAAGGUUAGUGACAAGAAUACCCGAAGGAAUAUAUUUUUUUUUACAAUUAUCCUUAUAUGCUCAAUACACAAGGUAAUGUUGCAAAUAAUUAAAGGCUCAUGUUACGAUCUGAUCAAUGCUUAUUUUAAGACACUAAGCUUGUCCUUGGGAAACCAUCAGUUUAUGUUGGCGAAGUGGUUUCCCCUCCGACGCCAACCUAUAUCUAGAUCAACUCAACGUGAUCUGCAAUAUUUAUUAUAGACAUAUGCAUCGACAACCGCCCUUUUAAAGUUUUUAUAAAUUGAAAGGAAGAGGGGGUUGGAGAUCUCAAGUGUGGUGAUGUCGGAGAGACCAAUAGAUUGGGAAGAUGUUGCAU
This 10231-nucleotide long non-coding RNA is filed under the name Sorghum bicolor (sorghum). Its description in RNAcentral is "long non-coding RNA (SBIC_LNC000833)". The record is from RNAcentral. Lineage: Eukaryota; Viridiplantae; Streptophyta; Magnoliopsida; Poales; Poaceae.